GGGCAUGUGCACACCCUGCUCAUCCCACUCUACACCUGUGCAUUUGCUGUAGGUUUGGCGUUGCCUUUGGGUGACCCUCUUUGGGGAGGGGCCAUCGAAGGCAUUCUGCCCUGCCUAUGUAAUACCUCUUCACAAACACGUGCAGUGACAGAAUGUGUUUGGGCUUAACGCAUGUAAAUACAACUUUCAGCAACGGAUCUCUUGGCUCUCGCAUCGAUGAAGAACGCAGCGAAAUGCGAUAAGUAAUGUGAAUUGCAGAAUUCAGUGAAUCAUCGAAUCUUUGAACGCACCUUGCGCUCCUCGGUACUCCGAGGAGCAUGCCUGUUUGAGUGUCAUGGACAUCUCAACCCACACACCUUUGUGAUGUUGUGGGCUUGGACUUGGAGGCUUGCUGGGGUUUCCACCGUGUGGCUCCAGCCCCUCCUGAAUGCAUUAGCUUGAUUCCGUGUGGACCGGCUCUCAGUGUGAUAAAUUGUCUGCGCUGUGACCGCGAAGCGCUCGGCAAGCUUACAACCGUCCCCUAUGGGGACAAACCUCUUUGACAUCUGACCUCAGAUCAGGUAG
RNAcentral lists this ribosomal RNA (564 nucleotides) under Trametes punicea. RNAcentral's name for it is "eukaryotic LSU rRNA". The stretch from base 182 to 335 matches the Rfam family "5.8S ribosomal RNA". The record is from RNAcentral. Lineage: Eukaryota; Fungi; Basidiomycota; Agaricomycetes; Polyporales; Polyporaceae.